RNAcentral lists this ribosomal RNA (393 nucleotides) under uncultured bacterium. RNAcentral describes it as "bacterial SSU rRNA". It matches the Rfam family "Bacterial small subunit ribosomal RNA", at positions 505 to 898 of the family's 1533-position model. The record is from RNAcentral.
GUGUCAGCAGCCGCGGUAAGACGUGGGGGGCCAGCGUUGUUCGGAAUUACUGGGUGUAAAGGGUUCGUAGGCGGUGUGGCAAGUCGGGAGUGAAAUCUCUAGGCUCAACCUAGAGUCUGCUUCCGAAACUGCUGUGCUUGAGUGUGGGAGAGGCGCGUGGAAUUGCAGGUGUAGCGGUGAAAUGCGUAGAUAUCUGCAGGAACACCCGUGGCGAAAGCGGCGCGCUGGACCACUACUGACGCUGAGGAACGAAAGCUAGGGGAGCAAACAGGAUUAGAUACCCUGGUAGUCCUAGCCCUAAACGAUCAGGACUUGGGGUGCCACCCGUUCGGGUGUCGUCCCGGAGCUAACGCGUUAAGUCCUGCACCUGGGGAGUACGGUCGCAAGACUGAA